CCUACGGGCGGCAGCAGUGAGGAAUAUUGGUCAAUGGACGAGAGUCUGAACCAGCCAAGUAGCGUGAAGGAUGACUGCCCUAUGGGUUGUAAACUUCUUUUAUCUGGGAAUAAAAUGUUCCACGUGUGGGAUUUUGUAUGUACCAUAUGAAUAAGGAUCGGCUAACUCCGUGCCAGCAGCCGCGGUAAUACGGAGGAUCCGAGCGUUAUCCGGAUUUAUUGGGUUUAAAGGGAGCGUAGGUGGAUUGUUAAGUCAGUUGUGAAAGUUUGCGGCUCAACCGUAAAAUUGCAGUUGAAACUGGCAGUCUUGAGUACAGUAGAGGUGGGCGGAAUUCGUGGUGUAGCGGUGAAAUGCUUAGAUAUCACGAAGAACUCCGAUUGCGAAGGCAGUUCACUGGACUGCAACUGACACUGAGGCUCGAAAGUGUGGGUAUCAAACAGGAUUAGAUACCCUUGUAGUC
RNAcentral lists this ribosomal RNA (460 nucleotides) under uncultured bacterium. Its description in RNAcentral is "partial 16S ribosomal RNA". It matches the Rfam family "Bacterial small subunit ribosomal RNA", at positions 338 to 795 of the family's 1533-position model. The record is from RNAcentral.